AGCGAACGCUGGCGGCAGGCUUAACACAUGCAAGUCGAACGCACCCUUCGGGGUGAGUGGCAGACGGGUGAGUAACGCGUGGGAACAUGCCCUUUGGUUCGGAAUAACUCAGGGAAACUUGAGCUAAUACCGGAUAAGCCCCUUGGGGGAAAGAUUUAUCGCCGAAGGAUUGGCCCGCGUCCGAUUAGCUAGUUGGUGAGGUAAUGGCUCACCAAGGCGACGAUCGGUAGCUGGUCUGAGAGGAUGAUCAGCCACACUGGGACUGAGACACGGCCCAGACUCCUACGGGAGGCAGCAGUGGGGAAUAUUGGACAAUGGGCGCAAGCCUGAUCCAGCCAUGCCGCGUGAGUGAUGAAGGCCUUAGGGUUGUAAAGCUCUUUCGGCGGGGACGAUAAUGACGGUACCCGCAGAAGAAGCCCCGGCUAACUUCGUGCCAGC
RNAcentral lists this ribosomal RNA (438 nucleotides) under uncultured bacterium. RNAcentral describes it as "bacterial SSU rRNA". It matches the Rfam family "Bacterial small subunit ribosomal RNA", at positions 29 to 512 of the family's 1533-position model. The record is from RNAcentral.